This 543-nucleotide ribosomal RNA is filed under the name Entamoeba histolytica. Its description in RNAcentral is "SSU rRNA". It matches the Rfam family "Eukaryotic small subunit ribosomal RNA", at positions 380 to 945 of the family's 1831-position model. Lineage: Eukaryota; Evosea; Mastigamoebida; Endamoebidae. The record is from RNAcentral.
ACAUCGGAGAGGGAGCUUUACAGAUGGCUACCACUUCUACGGAAGGCAGCAGGCGCGUAAAUUACCCACUUUCGACGUGAAGAGGUAGUGACGACAAAUAACUCUCGAGGUGGUUAACUCCACUUCUUGAAGGAAUGAGUAAGAAGUAAAUACUCUUACGAAAUCAAUUGGAGGGCAAGUCUAGUGCCAGCAGCCGCGGUAAUUCCAGCUCCUAUAGUGUAUAUUAAAGUUGCUGUGAUUAAAACGCUCCUAGUUGAAUAAUAAGGUGGUUUUAAUCAUUUUGAAGGCUUAGCGCAAGCUAAGUUUCUAGGAAUGAGGUAAUGAAACUAACGAAGGAGAUGAAGUGAGUAAUCACUAUAUCAUUACUUUGAAUAAAAUAGGGUGUUUAAAGCAAAACAUUAAGUUAAUGAAUAUUCAAGCAUGGGACAAUGCUGAGGGGAUGUCUUCGGACAUUUCGAGAGAAGGAUUAAAAGGAACAACUGGGGUGAUUCAGAAAAUAACGGGAGAGGUGAAAUUCCAUGAUCGCUAUAAGAUGCACGAGAG